AGUAAGUUCAGCCCUGAGAUGGAGUACGCCUUUAAUAAAAUAGAGACUGUCCUCAGCCAUGAAAGAAGUCCACGGUAUGGCGAAUAAAUUGCGAUAGCCAACUGCCUUACCCCCAGUAAAUGUAUAGUUUCCCUUGUAUUUGCUGACAUACUCCUCUGCUAGUGUUGUCCUCGCAGCAAAUUCAUAAUCGACUGUAAAUGAAACUGAACCCUUUUCCUGCAUUCCCAAAAAGAGACCAAAACAAUGGAAAGAGCUUUG
Molecule: unclassified non-coding RNA, 258 nt
Filed under: Hevea brasiliensis (rubber tree)
Lineage: Eukaryota; Viridiplantae; Streptophyta; Magnoliopsida; Malpighiales; Euphorbiaceae
Source: RNAcentral